This 443-nucleotide ribosomal RNA is filed under the name uncultured bacterium. RNAcentral's name for it is "bacterial SSU rRNA". It matches the Rfam family "Bacterial small subunit ribosomal RNA", at positions 30 to 473 of the family's 1533-position model. The record is from RNAcentral.
AUUGAACGCUGGCGGCAGGCCUAACACAUGCAAGUCGAGCGCGAAAAUUCCUUCGGGGGUGAGUAGAGCGGCGGACGGGUGAGUAACGCGUAGGAAUCUGCCCGGUAGUGGGGGACGAACAGUCGGAAACGACUGCUAAUACCGCAUACGCCCUAAGGGGGAAAGGCAGGGGAUCUUCGGACCUUGCGCUAUCGGAUGAGCCUGCGUCGGAUUAGCUUGUUGGUGGGGUAAUGGCCUACCAAGGCGACGAUCCGUAGCUGGUCUGAGAGGAUGAUCAGCCACACUGGGACUGAGACACGGCCCAGACUCCUACGGGAGGCAGCAGUGGGGAAUAUUGGACAAUGGGGGAAACCCUGAUCCAGCCAUGCCGCGUGUGUGAAGAAGGCCUUCGGUUGUAAGGUACACUUAAGUACGAGGAGGAAGGUUUUAGGUUUAAUUACUAC